AGAGUUUGAUCAUGGCUCAGGACGAACGCUCGGACGGCGCGCCUAACACAUGCAAGUCGAACGGAGUCAAGAGGAGCUUGCUUUUCUUGACUUAGUGGCGAACGGGUGAGUAACGCGUGAGUAACCUGCCCUGGAGUGGGGGACAACAGUUGGAAACGACUGCUAAUACCGCAUAAGCCCACGGAUUCGCAUGGAUCUGCGGGAAAAGGAUUUAUUCGCUUCAGGAUGGACUCGCGUCCAAUUAGCUAGUUGGUGAGGUAACGGCCCACCAAGGCGACGAUUGGUAGCCGGACUGAGAGGUUGAACGGCCACAUUGGGACUGAGACACGGCCCAGACUCCUACGGGAGGCAGCA
RNAcentral lists this ribosomal RNA (354 nucleotides) under uncultured bacterium. Its description in RNAcentral is "bacterial SSU rRNA". It matches the Rfam family "Bacterial small subunit ribosomal RNA", at positions 8 to 353 of the family's 1533-position model. The record is from RNAcentral.